This 305-nucleotide ribosomal RNA is filed under the name uncultured bacterium. RNAcentral's name for it is "bacterial SSU rRNA". It matches the Rfam family "Bacterial small subunit ribosomal RNA", at positions 337 to 660 of the family's 1533-position model. The record is from RNAcentral.
UCCUACGGGACGCAGCAGUGGGGAAUAUUGCACAAUGGGGGAAACCCUGAUGCAGCAACGCCGCGUGAGUGAAGAAGUAUUUCGGUAUGUAAAGCUCUAUCAGCAGGGAAGAAGAUGACGGUACCUGAUUAAGAAGCCCCGGCUAACUACGUGCCAGCAGCCGCGGUAAUACGUAGGGGGCAAGCGUUAUCCGGAUUUAUUGGGUUUAAAGGGUGCGUAGGCGGACUGUUAAGUCAGCGGUAAAAGCCCGGGGCUCAACCCCGGCGAGCCGUUGAAACUGGCUGUCUUGAGAUGUCGAGAGGUAG